CCUAUAUUUGCUUACUAUUAUACUGUGUAUAACUGAAUUGAUAAUUUUUAGGGUCCUUUUGGUUAUUUGGUUAUUUAUUUUUACUGUUUUGUUUGUCAGUAUUCCGGUUAUUAGUUAUUUGGCUAUGUUAAACUAUAUUGUUAUUUAAGUAAACUGUGAGUAUGAAAUGAACUAUUGGUGUUGUGUGAUUGAUUGUUAUGCUGAUGGAAAUCUGUAUGGGAAAGACUUAUUGGGUACUUGAGAAAGGGCAGACGGACUCGGUACAUAGGGAACCCUACCGUGAACACUACCUCAGUCGGACGGAGUUGGAAAGUCCCUUACCUGUUAAGAUUUGGGAGAUAUGGUCCACCCUCAUACCGGAUGAGGUAUCGAAGUGGUAGAAUAUUUGGCACCCAUUACCGGACGGGGUAUGGGGACGGUCGGUUAAUUGUUAAAUUGGAUAUUGGGUUCACGAGUAGGAGACAUCCCUAUGGACCCACAGGAGUAUAGGUAAGCGGGUAAAAAUGAAAAAUGAUCGUCUUUUGUUAUCUUAUAUAUGAAAAUAAAAAGUGUAUAGAUAUGGGUUUUCACAAAUUAUUUUUGAAAAAACUUAUUACGUAAAUAUGGAGUAAAAAGCUUUCUUUAUAGUAAA
RNAcentral lists this long non-coding RNA (631 nucleotides) under Carica papaya (papaya). Its description in RNAcentral is "long non-coding RNA (CPAP_LNC008728)". Lineage: Eukaryota; Viridiplantae; Streptophyta; Magnoliopsida; Brassicales; Caricaceae. The record is from RNAcentral.